GACCGCGUAGCUCAGUUGGCAGAGCAUUGGGCUAGUAUUCCAAAGGUCGUAGGUGCGAUUCCCACCGUGGUCA
Non-coding RNA from Paramuricea clavata, 73 nucleotides. The record is from the annotation of a GenBank genome assembly. Lineage: Eukaryota; Metazoa; Cnidaria; Anthozoa; Malacalcyonacea; Plexauridae.